AUGCACGGGCGUUCUGAUAGUAAACAAGCAAGAUCGUUCGAGGCACUUUUUUCCUCUUCGGUGAAACUCUCACCAGAUUCAUCCGUUUCAAGCCAGGCCCUCCAAACAUUGAUCAGACGGUCAGGAGAAGCUCCAACAGUUCUUACAGCCAGUCGCUGGAGGAGCCCAUCACUCUCUUACCAAUCUGGGCCAUCGCCUUCAAGCCCAUUUUGCCGGCGACUAUGCGCGUGGAGAUCCCGUCCUUCUCCACCGCCGCCGCCGCCGCCGUCGUCCAUCCCCGGCGACCCACUCGCCACCUCGCUUAUGUUACGGUCUCUCCCCAUUCUACUCCUCCACUCCGCGCUCUCCUCCAAGCCGACCCCAUCUAGGCUCCUCUCUUCCGCCGCCGCCGCCGCGGCCACCACCGGCUCGGUUGCGCGGGGCGGCGGGGCGCAUGGCAGCGUAUCUGCCGUACUGGCCAUUGUGGGACCCAUCGAGCUCCUCUUGCCGUCCUCCGAGGCGCGCCUCUACGUGCGCCUCCUGCGCCGCUGCGCGCUCGACGCGCUCGCCGCCGGCGCCGGCGCCGUCCACGGGCACGUCCUCAAGCGCGGCUUCGCCCCCGACACGCUCGUCUCCAACGUCCUGAUGGACACCUACGCCAAGGGUGGCUCCCUGGUUGCCUGCCGCCAUCUGUUCGACGAAAUGCCUCACAGGGACGUGGCGUCCUGGUGCACCGUCAUUUCCGCACACGCCAGCCGGGGCCUCUGGGUUGAUGCCAUCGGGGUGUUCAAGGGGCUGUUGUCCUCCGAGGUGAAGCCAAACCGGUUUGUCAUCUCGGCGACGCUGAAUGCGUGUGCCAGGUCUGGUGUCAUGGAGCUGGGGCUCAUGGUACAUGGAUUGGUGAUCAAGUCUGGCUUGGGUGUUGAUAGGUUUGUGGAGGUUGGAUUUGUGGAUAUGUAUGCGAAAUGUGGCAAUGUAGGCUGCUCUUUUAGGAUCUUCAGUGAAAUUCCGGUGAAGAGCUCAGUUGCUUGGAAUGCAAUGAUUUCAGGUUUUAUUGAGAAUGACUGUGUUGUGGAGGCUGCUAAGCUUUGCAGGGAUAUGCAUAGAGUUGGCAUUGCAAUGGAUGUGGUAACAUUGAGGUUAGCUGCUGGCGUCGCUGCUUUUCUUGGAAUGUUUGAGCUUUGUAGGAAUGUUCACGUUUAUGCACUGAAAGUGGGGUUGGGAAGAGAUUGUUAUGUUGUGUCUGAGCUGGUCAAGUCAGCCGGGAGGGUAGGUAAUACUCAGUACAUUGGACAGCUUGUUGCUGCAGCUAGAAGGCGUGAUGCAUCUUUGUAUUCUUUAGCUAUAUCAGGCUAUCACUCAAAUGGUUGUCAGGAUGAAGCAGUGAAGCUAGUCGAGCAUCUUCUUUCCUCGGGCCACAGUUUAAGGGAAGGGGAUCUGGUCACCGUUCUGGAUAUCUGUCAUAUCAAAGAGGAAGUUCAGCAAGUACAUGCUUAUACAUUGAAAUCUGGAAGCUUCUCUUAUAUUAAUGUAUGUAAUGCUCUUAUAUCGGUAUACUCUGAAAUUGGAUCGCUGAUGCACGCUGAAGCAAUCUUCAGAACUUCAGAGUCACGAGAUAUUGUAUCAUGGGCUGCAGUCAUGGCAGGCUGUGUCAAGAACCUCCAAUUUGAAAAAGCAUUUGGUUAUUUUAGAGGGUUAAGAAAGUCUGGAGCACUAUUAGAUCAGCACUGUGUUGCUACUAUCAUAAAUUCAUGCACAGGACUUGAAGACAUGGAUAAGGGAGAGCAGAUUCAUGCUCUGGCUCUUAAAGUUGGGAUAUUGAUUGCUGACUUUGUUAGUGCAUCCCUAGUGAACAUGUACGCAAAAUGCCAUCACAUUGAGUGUGCUGCUGAGUUAUUUUCCCACACACAGUUUCCAAGAAAUCUAGUUUUAACUAAUGCGAUGCUCUCAGGGUAUUGCUGGAAUUUCCUGCCAGAGAAAGCUCUUCUGCUCUUCUGCAAUGAAUAUCGUACUGGUCUGCGUCCUGAUCAUUUCACUUGCUCAACUGUUCUCAGUGCAUGUGCUGAUAUAGGAGCAAAGGAGGCUGGUGAACAGGUUCAUGCCUAUCUUGUAAAGAUUGGUUCUGAAUACAUGGAUGCCAUUGUUGGAAAUGCUAUCAUAGACCUUUAUGUCAAGUGCGGAUGCAUUGCCAGUGCUUGUAGUUUUUUCCAUAGCAUGAGAAGUUGGAGCAUAAAUUCAUAUGCAAUGCUAAUGUUGGGUUAUAUUCAGAACAGAUGUAGCGAUGAAGCUCUUCAUCUUUUCUCCAAAAUGCAGCACAGUGGAUUGCGUGCCAACCGUGUUACCUUUGCAAGAAUUUUGCGUGGAUGUGCUGACCUAUGUGCUAUUGAUUUAGGGAGACAAGUGCAUGCUUCUAUUAUAAAGAUGGGUUUGAUCUCUGAUGUAUAUGUCGCAAAUGCACUUGUAGGAAUGUAUAAAAGAUCUGACCGUUUGAUGGAACCAAGAAGAGACUCUCAAGAAAUUUUGGCAGGAAAUGGUCCAGAACAGAAUACUGAAGAUAACUGCUAUUCAGAACAAAGGGAUGGAAGUAGCGACCUUGAAGAAAUUGGGCUGUUUACGUUGGAAGAAGAGAAAAAUCAGGAAACUUAUGCUGAUGUGCGGAAUAUUUCUAUUGGUGCUGCUUCUCAGUACUAUGGAACUCCACUUCCUAUCCAUGUGGUUGGAGAGGAACUUAGGAUGAACACUAUCAUGUGGAGUGGAAGAAAUGAGAAGGGCAGUGAAAGCAAUGUUUUUCUAGAUACACGAUAUCAGGGAAAGAGAGGUGGAUCUCACAAACUGUUUAACUUGUUACACAUGGACAGCACUGGAUCUAACCAAUUCGUCCUAGUUAUCUUCAUUGACAAUAGCCUUAAGAUGAAGGAUACAAGAUUUGUUAAUACCGAGUUAAUAAGAUCUGGUGUUGCACCAGCACUCGGCAUUCCUCCU
This 2961-nucleotide ribosomal RNA is filed under the name Triticum aestivum (bread wheat). RNAcentral's name for it is "partial small subunit ribosomal RNA". Lineage: Eukaryota; Viridiplantae; Streptophyta; Magnoliopsida; Poales; Poaceae. The record is from RNAcentral.